This is a long non-coding RNA of Galleria mellonella (greater wax moth), 505 nucleotides long. RefSeq lists it as uncharacterized. The transcript has 2 exons. Lineage: Eukaryota; Metazoa; Arthropoda; Insecta; Lepidoptera; Pyralidae. The record is from RefSeq and is a predicted model, not a curated record.
UGAACUUUGUAUUGUUUUUCAUUAUUUUUUUUUUUAAUUACUAAAUAAUAAUUAUACUUUCUGACAGUAUCAGCCUAAAGGGCGAAACGAUUGUUAAUAACGAGGAUUAACAGCUUAACUAACGGUAAUAAAUAUAGAGUAUAUUCAGUCAGAUCGACCUCAACGCGGUUCUCCUUGAACGAGCUUACUAUUCCAUUUUCAUCCAAUUACAAAUAUAUUAUAGGGGAUGACGCGGUCGAGAAUCCAAAAGUUCGGGGUGAGGGGGGGAGCUGUCAAAAACUUAUCCUGGAACAUCAUGUACACUAAACUGGACCUGCAUACUGAUUAUUUAUAUUUAUGGACACAAAAACUUGAUUAGUAAAGCGUUUGUUUUAAUACUAUCUAGUUAAAGGUUUAUGAUCAAGAUGUACUUUAAGAUAAGCAAACACACUAUGCCUAGGGAUGGUUCAUUGAAAAAAAUAGAUGUCAUUUAAGCAACGUCCCGAAAUAUCGACAAUGUUCAAGG